GAAUUCAAUUCGGUCGUCUGUGCUGGUGGAGACGCAUGUGCACGUCGAUCGUAAUUCCAUCCUCCUCCCAAUCGUCCGAGUGUGUGUCGGGUCGUGGCCCUUCUUGGGUCCCUUCCCUGGACACGCCUCGGUUAUUUUCACCCACUCUGGGUAUUCGAAACGAAGAACGUAAUACAAACAAACUUAACAACUUUCAACAACGGAUCUCUUGGUUCU
This 216-nucleotide unclassified non-coding RNA is filed under the name rhizosphere metagenome. Its description in RNAcentral is "partial ribosomal RNA internal transcribed spacer region". The record is from RNAcentral.